AAUGAACGCUGGCGGCGUGUUUAAGACAUGCAAGUUGAACGGAGAGUAUUUAGUUUACUAGAUACUCUUAGUGGCGGACGGGUGAGUAACACGUGAGCAACCUACCUCAAAGAAAAGGAUAGUCCUGGGAAACUGGGUUUAAUACUUUAUGUGCAUAUAUGUAAAGGUGGCUUCGGCUGCCGCUUUGAGAUGGGCUCGCGUCCUAUCAGCUAGUUGGUGAGGUAAAGGCUCACCAAGGCGACGACGGGUAGCUGGUCUUAGAGGAUGAUCAGUCACACUGGAACUGAGACACGGUCCAGACACCUACGGGUGGCAGCAGUCGAGAAUAAUUCACAAUGGACGAAAGUCUGAUGGUGCAACGCCGCGUGGAGGAUGACGGUUUUCGGAUUGUAAACUCCUGUCAUCGGGGAGUAAGUCUUAGUAGUUAAAAGCUGUUAAGAUUGAGAGUACCCGAAGAGGAAGGGACGGCUAACUUCG
This 477-nucleotide ribosomal RNA is filed under the name uncultured Haloferula sp. RNAcentral's name for it is "bacterial SSU rRNA". It matches the Rfam family "Bacterial small subunit ribosomal RNA", at positions 29 to 505 of the family's 1533-position model. The record is from RNAcentral. Lineage: Bacteria; Pseudomonadati; Verrucomicrobiota; Verrucomicrobiia; Verrucomicrobiales; Verrucomicrobiaceae.